This 449-nucleotide ribosomal RNA is filed under the name uncultured bacterium. RNAcentral describes it as "bacterial SSU rRNA". It matches the Rfam family "Bacterial small subunit ribosomal RNA", at positions 329 to 795 of the family's 1533-position model. The record is from RNAcentral.
AGCCAGACUCCUACGGGAGGCAGCAGUGGGGAAUAUUGCACAAUGGGGGAAACCCUGAUGCAGCGACGCCGCGUGAGUGAAGAAGUAUUUCGGUAUGUAAAGCUCUAUCAGCAGGGAAGAAAAUGACGGUACCUGACUAAGAAGCCCCGGCUAACUACGUGCCAGCAGCCGCGGUAAUACGUAGGGGGCAAGCGUUAUCCGGAUUUACUGGGUGUAAAGGGAGCGUAGACGGCAUGGCAAGUCAGAUGUGAAAGCCCGGGGCUCAACCCCGGGACUGCAUUUGAAACUGUCAGGCUGGAGUGCAGGAGAGGUAAGUGGAAUUCCUAGUGUAGCGGUGAAAUGCGUAGAUAUUAGGAGGAACACCAGUGGCGAAGGCGGCUUACUGGACUGUAAUUGACGUUGAGGCUCGAAAGCGUGGGGAGCAAACAGGAUUAGAUACCCCCGUAACC